GAUGAACGCUAGCUACAGGCUUAACACAUGCAAGUCGAGGGGCAGCGAGAGGGAAGCUUGCUUUCCUUGUCGGCGACCGGCGCACGGGUGAGUAACGCGUAUCCAACCUUCCCCUUACUAAGGAAUAGCCCGGCGAAAGUCGGAUUAAUGCCUUAUGUUCUCCUUUGCAGGCAUCUAACGAGGAGCAAAGAUUCAUCGGUAAGGGAUGGGGAUGCGUCUGAUUAGCUUGUCGGCGGGGUAACGGCCCACCGAGGCGACGAUCAGUAGGGGUUCUGAGAGGAAGGUCCCCCACAUUGGUACUGAGACACGGACCAAACUCC
RNAcentral lists this ribosomal RNA (320 nucleotides) under uncultured Prevotella sp. Its description in RNAcentral is "bacterial SSU rRNA". It matches the Rfam family "Bacterial small subunit ribosomal RNA", at positions 28 to 339 of the family's 1533-position model. The record is from RNAcentral. Lineage: Bacteria; Pseudomonadati; Bacteroidota; Bacteroidia; Bacteroidales; Prevotellaceae.